GCUAAGAAUAUCCCUCUUAAUUGUAUUUCUACAGGAAACAUGAAAGAGAGGUUGUAGAGAAGGGAUGAACCUUUUGAAAUAUAGGUGGUCCACCACAGAUAGAGGAUACUCGUGCAUUACUAUGGCUAAGCCUAACUCUUUCCUUGACACUUUGACAUUCAAGGUGGUAGCAGCGAGUUCCUUCUUGGAAUUAGAGGCCAAGUUUUGGCCAAGUGUUUUCAGUUUUUUGUCAUGAAGCUGUCAUUGAAUGCAAGCUAAUUUAUGACUCUUCAAAUGAGAAGUUCCAUUGUUCGAGUCCCCACCUAGCAGCUUCCGACAGUGCUUGCACCUAGCCUUGACAAAUUCCCCAAUUCUCAUUUUGUACAAAUGACUCCAAACUUCACUGGUGAGCUUACUCAUAUCUAAAAAUUCUUUAAUUGGCUUAGAAUUAGGUUGAGGAGCUGAUGUACCGGUAAUUUGAGCCUCCUGUGUAUGUGCUUAGAAUUAGGUUGAGGGCAGCUGCACUCGAAGGUGGUGUAACCAAACCACCAUUACUACAUAGAUUAUGAGAGGGAAGUUGGUUAUCCAUUACUAUGCAAAUUUGAUCCUACAUGUUUUGAAAAGUGAAGAGGUUGAUUGAGAAGCAGUUUAUACUUUAUAGGAGCAGAUUAUUAUAUACAUAAGUAAAUUACAGAAGCAGUUUAGAUAAUCUAAUUUCAUAAGUAGAUUAAAGAAGCUGAUUAGGAUUGAGAAAUUUUUUAGAUUAAAGUUGCAGAUUUAGGAGACUUAAUCAGAUUUUAGAUUCAAAGCAAUAUUAAUUUAGUAAUUGAAACUUAGUUUUGAAAAGCAUACUUGCAGAUUCAACAACAAUCAAAUUUUGUCUAAAUGAUCAUCAACUAUAACAAGCUUUCAAGUGUCAAAUAAUCAACAAGCAUAAUCAAACAAUUCUAAAUGAUUAAUGAUCAAACUCAGAAGUUAAACCAAGAACUAUCGUCACCAAGCAUGAUCAAACUAUCAUCAGCAACAACAAUCUUACUACAAUGACUUUCAAACUUAAUCAACAUUCUUAUCAUCAACCAACUAAUCAACAUAGCAGAAAAAUUAACCCACUACCUACCUCAAAAUAGUUAGUCCUUGAUUAUGUACCAUGUUAUUGAGUAGUAACCAAAACUAGCUACUACUCUGAAUCACUAAUGUUGCCGUCAAACCUGCAAUAAUGAAACAACAAUGGAUAACAUCUACUAGUCUAGCAUUCAGCAAUGGAUAACAGGAUAAGAAACUCAUAAAUAUUAAAAACCAUAUCGAGUAUGAACCCCUUACUCAGCUAGCCUACAACUCUCUGCAACUAUCACUAAGGUCUACGAUGCUGGCAAUUUCUCAAUACUGGAACCACAAUUUUGCUGAAACUAAUUUCCUACUAGAAUGAAUAAACAAACAUAGUGUUAGACAAUAAAUUAACAGUAAAUAUCUCUCGAAGAUUAAGCAAAAAGGUAAGGAUAAACACUAAAUAGGAAGAAAUUGGUGAUUGAUUGACAAAUUUUUCGGCUAGAGAAUUAAAAAUCAAUAUAUCAAGAGACUAAAGAGGAGCAGAGUUCUAUAAGAGAAGAGGAUCGGGUGAAGAUGUGAUUAAUGGGUAGGAUAUUUCGCGAAGGAGAGGAGAUUAGGGUUGGAGUUGGGUGAAGACGUGCCGGAAUGACCGAUGGUGGAAAU
Molecule: long non-coding RNA, 1689 nt
Filed under: Linum usitatissimum (flax)
Lineage: Eukaryota; Viridiplantae; Streptophyta; Magnoliopsida; Malpighiales; Linaceae
Description: long non-coding RNA (LUSI_LNC005965)
Source: RNAcentral